Molecule: ribosomal RNA, 384 nt
Filed under: uncultured bacterium
Lineage: Bacteria
Description: bacterial SSU rRNA
Rfam family: Bacterial small subunit ribosomal RNA
Source: RNAcentral
GUUGAACGCUGGCGGCAUGCUUUACACAUGCAAGUCGAGCGGCAGCGCGGGGGCAACCCUGGCGGCGAGCGGCGAACGGGUGAGUAAUGCAUCGGAACGUACCCUGGAGUGGGGGAUAACGCCGCGAAAGCGGCGCUAAUACCGCAUAUGCUCUGAGGAGGAAAGUGGGGGACCGCAAGGCCUCACGCUCUGGGAGCGGCCGAUGUCCGAUUAGCUAGUUGGUGGGGUAAAGGCUUACCAAGGCGACGAUCGGUAGCUGGUCUGAGAGGAUGAUCAGCCACACUGGGACUGAGACACGGCCCAGACUCCUACGGGAGGCAGCAGUGGGGAAUUUUGGACAAUGGGGGCAACCCUGAUCCAGCCAUGCCGCGUGAGUGAAGAAGG